This 484-nucleotide ribosomal RNA is filed under the name uncultured bacterium. RNAcentral's name for it is "partial 16S ribosomal RNA". It matches the Rfam family "Bacterial small subunit ribosomal RNA", at positions 29 to 523 of the family's 1533-position model. The record is from RNAcentral.
AGUGAACGCUGGCGGCGUGCUUAACACAUGCAAGUCGAACGAGAACGGAUUAUAGCUUGCCAUAAUUGUCAGCUAAGUGGCGCACGGGUGAGUAAUGUAUAGGUAAUAUGCCUCUUACUAAGGGAUAACAAAUGGAAACGUUUGCUAAUACCUUAUACUCCUUAUUAACAGAAGUUAAUAAGGGAAAGAUUUAUUGGUAAGAGAUUAGCCUGUAUUGUAUCAGUUAGUUGGUGGGGUAAUGGCUUACCAAGACUAUGACACAUAACUGGUUUGAGAGGAUGAUCAGUCACACUGGAACUGAGACACGGUCCAGACUCCUACGGGAGGCAGCAGUGGGGAAUAUUGCACAAUGGGGGAAACCCUGAUGCAGCAACGCCGCGUGGAGGAUGACACAUUUCGGUGCGUAAACUCCUUUUAUAUAGGAAGAUAAUGACGGUACUAUAUGAAUAAGCACCGGCUAACUCCGUGCCAGCCGCCGCAGUAA